RNAcentral lists this transfer RNA (82 nucleotides) under bacterium. RNAcentral's name for it is "tRNA-Leu". It matches the Rfam family "tRNA". From Rfam's summary of the family: Transfer RNA (tRNA) molecules are approximately 80 nucleotides in length. Their secondary structure includes four short double-helical elements and three loops (D, anti-codon, and T loops). Further hydrogen bonds mediate the characteristic L-shaped molecular structure. tRNAs have two regions of fundamental functional importance: the anti-codon, which is responsible for specific mRNA codon recognition, and the 3' end, to which the tRNAs corresponding amino acid is attached (by aminoacyl-tRNA synthetases). tRNAs cope with the degeneracy of the genetic code in two manners: having more than one tRNA (with a specific anti-codon) for a particular amino acid; and 'wobble' base-pairing, i.e. permitting non-standard base-pairing at the 3rd anti-codon position. The record is from RNAcentral.
GCCCAGGUGGCGGAACUGGCAUACGCGUACGUCUCAGAAGCGUAUCUCGCAAGGGUUGGGGGUUCGAAUCCCCCCCUGGGCA